Non-coding RNA from Scomber scombrus (Atlantic mackerel), 384 nucleotides. Lineage: Eukaryota; Metazoa; Chordata; Actinopteri; Scombriformes; Scombridae. The record is from the annotation of a RefSeq genome assembly.
AUGACUACGAUAUCCGUCCUCAUCUGGACUCUCCUCUGCUGCUGCUUCACAGAGUCCAGAGGCCAGAUCACAGUGACUCAGCCUGCAGGAGUGAGAUCUGCUCUGGGAGGACCUGCAAGAAUCAGCUGUACAGUCAGUCAGGAUGUUAUAUUUUAUAAUGGUUACCACGAGUUAGCCUGGUACCAAAAGAGAAAUGGAGAAACUCCUAAACUUCUCAUUUACUAUGCUACCACUCGAGCAUCAGGUAUUCCAGGUCGUUUUACAGGCAUUGGAUCAAAGUCUGACUUCACUCUGACCAUCAGUGGAGUUCAGGCUGAAGAUGCAGCAGUUUAUUACUGUCAGAGUAAACAUGUUAUCAACAGCCAGCAUAUGUUCACACAGUGA